This 76-nucleotide transfer RNA is filed under the name Gammaproteobacteria bacterium. RNAcentral's name for it is "tRNA-Val". It matches the Rfam family "tRNA". Rfam says of the family: Transfer RNA (tRNA) molecules are approximately 80 nucleotides in length. Their secondary structure includes four short double-helical elements and three loops (D, anti-codon, and T loops). Lineage: Bacteria; Pseudomonadati; Pseudomonadota; Gammaproteobacteria. RNAcentral also lists the same sequence under 1 other name. The record is from RNAcentral.
GGGUGCUUAGCUCAGCUGGGAGAGCGUCGCCUUUACACGGCGAAGGUCGAAGGUUCGAUCCCUUCAGCACCCACCA